RNAcentral lists this ribosomal RNA (1332 nucleotides) under Salmonella enterica subsp. enterica serovar Bovismorbificans. RNAcentral describes it as "partial 23S ribosomal RNA". It matches the Rfam family "Bacterial large subunit ribosomal RNA", at positions 1 to 1363 of the family's 2925-position model. Lineage: Bacteria; Pseudomonadati; Pseudomonadota; Gammaproteobacteria; Enterobacterales; Enterobacteriaceae. The record is from RNAcentral.
GGGUUGUGAGGUUAAGCGACUAAGCGUACACGGUGGAUGCCCUGGCAGUCAGAGGCGAUGAAGGGCGUGCUAAUCUGCGAUAAGCGCCGGUAAGGUGAUAUGAACCGUUAUAACCGGCGAUACCCGAAUGGGGAAACCCAGUGUGACUCGUCACACUAUCAUUAACUGAAUCCAUAGGUUAAUGAGGCGAACCGGGGGAACUGAAACAUCUAAGUACCCCGAGGAAAAGAAAUCAACCGAGAUUCCCCCAGUAGCGGCGAGCGAACGGGGAGGAGCCCAGAGCCUGAAUCAGCAUGUGUGUUAGUGGAAGCGUCUGGAAAGGCGCGCGAUACAGGGUGACAGCCCCGUACACAAAAGCGCAUGUGCUGUGAGCUCGAUGAGUAGGGCGGGACACGUGGUAUCCUGUCUGAAUAUGGGGGGACCAUCCUCCAAGGCUAAAUACUCCUGACUGACCGAUAGUGAACCAGUACCGUGAGGGAAAGGCGAAAAGAACCCCGGCGAGGGGAGUGAAAAAGAACCUGAAACCGUGUACGUACAAGCAGUGGGAGCACCCUUCGGGGUGUGACUGCGUACCUUUUGUAUAAUGGGUCAGCGACUUAUAUUCUGUAGCAAGGUUAACCGAAUAGGGGAGCCGGAGGGAAACCGAGUCUUAAUUGGGCGUUAAGUUGCAGGGUAUAGACCCGAAACCCGGUGAUCUAGCCAUGGGCAGGUUGAAGGUUGGGUAACACUAACUGGAGGACCGAACCGACUAAUGUUGAAAAAUUAGCGGAUGACCUGUGGCUGGGGGUGAAAGGCCAAUCAAACCGGGAGAUAGCUGGUUCUCCCCGAAAGCUAUUUAGGUAGCGCCUCGUGAAUUCAUCUCCGGGGGUAGAGCACUGUUUCGGCUAGGGGGCCAUCCCGGCUUACCAACCCGAUGCAAACUGCGAAUACCGGAGAAUGUUAUCACGGGAGACACACGGCGGGUGCUAACGUCCGUCGUGAAGAGGGAAACAACCCAGACCGCCAGCUAAGGUCCCAAAGUCAUGGUUAAGUGGGAAACGAUGUGGGAAGGCCCAGACAGCCAGGAUGUUGGCUUAGAAGCAGCCAUCAUUUAAAGAAAGCGUAAUAGCUCACUGGUCGAGUCGGCCUGCGCGGAAGAUGUAACGGGGCUAAACCAUGCACCGAAGCUGCGGCAGCGACGCUGAUGCGUUGUUGGGUAGGGGAGCGUUCUGUAAGCCUGCGAAGGUGGCCUGUGAGGGUUGCUGGAGGUAUCAGAAGUGCGAAUGCUGACAUAAGUAACGAUAAAGCGGGUGAAAAGCCCGCUCGCCGGAAGACCAAGGGUUCCUGUCCAAC